This is a long non-coding RNA of Ipomoea nil (Japanese morning glory), 112 nucleotides long. RefSeq lists it as uncharacterized. NCBI's taxonomy places the organism in Eukaryota, Viridiplantae, Streptophyta, Magnoliopsida, Solanales, Convolvulaceae. The transcript has 3 exons. The record is from RefSeq and is a predicted model, not a curated record.
UGGACCAUAUCUCAGCAUAGGAAUGUCCAAAUGAGGUGAUUCUUGCACCAUUGGAAAGAAAAUUCGAAGGGAUACAACUCUUAUGAAGACAUCAAUUGAUUUGAAAGGGAAA